This 186-nucleotide small RNA is filed under the name Lacticaseibacillus manihotivorans DSM 13343 = JCM 12514. Its description in RNAcentral is "Lactobacillus manihotivorans DSM 13343 = JCM 12514 Listeria sRNA rli28". It matches the Rfam family "Listeria sRNA rli28". The record is from Rfam by way of RNAcentral. Lineage: Bacteria; Bacillati; Bacillota; Bacilli; Lactobacillales; Lactobacillaceae.
GAAAUUCUGGUAGAAUGUAUUUUGGUGAGGAAAGGCCGGAUGGUGGCUAGCUGCUUUCGAAAGAAAGGAGUGAUGCCUAUGAGCCUUUGUAGUCGUUGCUCUGAAAGGAGCAAGCAUGAGCGUAUACCAAGCGCUGUCACUGAUGAUCGCCUUUGGCGCAUUGAUCGUGGCAAUCAUGAAAGACAA